Molecule: ribosomal RNA, 371 nt
Filed under: uncultured organism
Description: partial 16S ribosomal RNA
Rfam family: Bacterial small subunit ribosomal RNA
Source: RNAcentral
GUAGGUGGCAAGCGUUGUCCGGAAUUAUUGGGCGUAAAGCGCGCGCAGGCGGUUCUUUAAGUCUGAUGUGAAAGCCCACGGGCUCAACCGUGGAGGGUCAUUGGAAACUGGAGAACUUGAGUACAGAAGAGGAAAGCGGAAUUCCACGUGUAGCGGUGAAAUGCGUAGAGAUGUGGAGGAACACCAGUGGCGAAGGCGGCUUUCUGGUCUGUAACUGACGCUGAGGCGCGAAAGCGUGGGGAGCAAACAGGAUUAGAUACCCUGGUAGUCCACGCCGUAAACGAUGAGUGCUAAGUGUUAGGGGGUUUCCGCCCCUUAGUGCUGCAGCUAACGCAUUAAGCACUCCGCCUGGGGAGUACGGCCGCAAGGCU